Long non-coding RNA from Rhododendron vialii, 260 nucleotides. RefSeq lists it as uncharacterized. The record is from RefSeq and is a predicted model, not a curated record. The transcript has 4 exons. NCBI's taxonomy places the organism in Eukaryota, Viridiplantae, Streptophyta, Magnoliopsida, Ericales, Ericaceae.
UUUGCCUACUUUAAUCGAGACAACGUAGCUCUUAAGGGUCUUGCAAGGUUUUUCCAGGAAUCAAGCGAAGAGGAAAGAGAGCACGCGGAGAAGUUGAUGGAGUAUCAGAACAAACGUGGUGGGAAAGUGAAACUGCAAUCCAUUCAGAUGCCAUUGUCCGAGUUUGAUCACGUUGAGAAAGGAGAUGCAUUGUAUGCAAUGGAGCUUGCGCUGUCUUUGGAGAAGUUGACAAACGAAAAACUUCUGAACUUGCAUGCCGU